UGGCUUUUCAUUAGUGUAAAGAGCUUUUGGAAUAAGAGCUGGGCAAGACCGGUGCCAGCCGCCGCGGUAACACCGGCAGCUCUAGUGGUAACAAUUUUUAUUGGGCCUAAAGCGUCCGUAGCCGGUUUAAUAAGUCUCUGGUGAAAUCCUGUAGCUUAACUGUGGGAAUUGCUGGAGAUACUAUUAGACUUGAGACCGGGAGAGGUUAGAGGUACUCCCAGGGUAGAGGUGAAAUUCUGUAAUCCUGGGAGGACCGCCUGUUGCGAAGGCGUCUAACUGGAACGGUUCUGACGGUGAGGGACGAAAGUUAGGGGCGCGAACCGGAUUAGAUACCCGGGUAGUCCUAACUGUAAACGAUGCGGACUUGGUGUUGGGGUGGCUUUGAGCUGCUCCAGUGCCGAAGGGAAGCUGUUAAGUCCGCCGCCUGGGAAGUACGGUCGCAAGACUGAAACUUAA
RNAcentral lists this ribosomal RNA (456 nucleotides) under uncultured archaeon. RNAcentral's name for it is "bacterial SSU rRNA". It matches the Rfam family "Archaeal small subunit ribosomal RNA", at positions 404 to 859 of the family's 1478-position model. The record is from RNAcentral.